AUUGAACGCUGGCGGCAGGCCUAACACAUGCAAGUCGAGCGAGCGGCGGACGGGUGUGUAAUGUAUGGGGAGCUGCCCGCUAGAGGGGGAUAACUACUGUAAACGGUAGCUAAUACCGCAUACUCUCUGAUGAACCCCUAUGGGAUUAUCUAGUAGGUGGGGUAAAGGCUCACCUAGGCGACGAUCCCUAGCUGGUCUGAGAGGAGGACCAGCCAAACUGGAACUGAGACACGGUCCAGAAUCCUACGGGAGGCAGCAGUGGGGAAUAUUGCACAAUGGGCGCAAGCCUGAUGCAGCCAUGCCGCGUGUAGGAAGAAGGCCUUCGGGUUGUAAAGUACUUUCAGCGGGGAGGCGUUACCCGCAGAAGAAGCACCGGCUAACUCCGUGCCAGCCGCCGCGGUAAUAC
Molecule: ribosomal RNA, 406 nt
Filed under: uncultured bacterium
Lineage: Bacteria
Description: partial 16S ribosomal RNA
Rfam family: Bacterial small subunit ribosomal RNA
Source: RNAcentral